UCGAAAAAAAGACCGCAUUUUGUCCGGUCAAACUAUCCGUCCCAAGUUACAAACGUUCCUCCCUCAGCGGGGCCCACGUCGUACUUUGGGCCUAUAAAGCUUAUUUAUGGGCCUAAAAUUAAUGGGUAAGCCGGUAUGAAGUUCAUAUCAGUUGGCCCAAUUUGGAUUCGGCCCAAUGGGCUAACUAACAAGAAAGACCCCCGCGGAGGUUUAUGUUCACAAAGUGGGCUCAGACUAAUAAUACAAACUGGCCGGUGCGGAUACAAGAAGGGGAGGGGAGGGGAGAGGAGAGGAGAGGAGAUUUUAUAAGGCCCACAAGUCGGCCCAUUUUUAAGCCAUGGAAUAUGGGCCGAUCAUUUGUCGAUCUGGCCCAGCUUUCCGAGCCCAUUACAGUUGGGGCAAACUAUCUGGGCCUGGUCCUUGCGCGCCGCGUUGGCCCGCAGCGUCGCCCCCGACUUCCUGAUGAAUCCGGCCCCGUCGCACUCCGGGCACCUGCGCCACACGGCCCAUUAAUAACAGCCCAUUAUCACAUGAACGAGUCCACAGACCCAUUAUCGGCCCAGAUCCAGUCCUCUCCCCCCCCGAGAUUUGGGGGCGAGCGGAGAGAAGGGGACGGAGGAGAUCUUACAGGUCCUUGCGGGAGAAGAGAAUGGGGAACGCUGUGCCCACAAGCGCCACCGCGAUGGCACCCGCCACCAGAUACGUGGUUCCCUCCGCCGAGACGUCACCCACUGCCGCCACCACGGCCCCCGACCGCGGCUUCUUCCUCCCCUUCAACGG
RNAcentral lists this long non-coding RNA (780 nucleotides) under Spirodela polyrhiza (greater duckweed). Its description in RNAcentral is "long non-coding RNA (SPOL_LNC002401)". Lineage: Eukaryota; Viridiplantae; Streptophyta; Magnoliopsida; Alismatales; Araceae. The record is from RNAcentral.